AACGUUCGAAAAAUAUAAAAAUCAAGAAAAAGACAUAAAAACACCCUAAAAAUUCUCGAAUCGCACCAGUUACCUCAGAAUAACGAUACAAAUAAAAUAUCAAAAUUUCACAUUUUUCGUGACCGCCCGUAAAAUAUCAAAAAAUUAUUUCGUAAACGUCCGAAAAAUAUAAAAAUUAAGAAAAAGCCAUAAAAACACCUCAAAAAAUUCUCGAAUCGCACCAGUCACCUUAGAAUAUCGAUACAAAUAAAAUACCAAAAUUUCACAUUUUUUAGUGAUUGCUCGAAAAAAAUCAAAAAAUUUAAUUCGUAAACGUCUGAAAAAUAUAAAAAUCAAGAAAAAGGCAAAAAAACACCUCAAAAAAAUCUCGAAUUGCACCA
Molecule: long non-coding RNA, 380 nt
Filed under: Solanum tuberosum (potato)
Lineage: Eukaryota; Viridiplantae; Streptophyta; Magnoliopsida; Solanales; Solanaceae
Description: long non-coding RNA (STUB_LNC007182)
Source: RNAcentral